GUUGACCUCGGAUCGGGUAGGGAUACCCGCUGAACUUAAGCAUAUCAAUAAGCGGAGGAAAAGAAACCAACAGGGAUUGCCCUAGUAACGGCGAGUGAAGCGGCAACAGCUCAAAUUUGAAAUCUGGCGCAAGCCCGAGU
RNAcentral lists this ribosomal RNA (140 nucleotides) under Schizothyrium wisconsinense. Its description in RNAcentral is "partial 28S ribosomal RNA". It matches the Rfam family "Eukaryotic large subunit ribosomal RNA", at positions 1 to 143 of the family's 3401-position model. The record is from RNAcentral. Lineage: Eukaryota; Fungi; Ascomycota; Dothideomycetes; Mycosphaerellales; Schizothyriaceae.